This 253-nucleotide unclassified non-coding RNA is filed under the name uncultured Caldilineaceae bacterium. RNAcentral describes it as "contains 16S-23S intergenic spacer region". It matches the Rfam family "Bacterial small subunit ribosomal RNA", at positions 524 to 776 of the family's 1533-position model. Lineage: Bacteria; Bacillati; Chloroflexota; Caldilineae; Caldilineales; Caldilineaceae. The record is from RNAcentral.
UACGUAGGUGUCGAGCGUUAUCCGGAAUUACUGGGCGUAAAGGGCACGCAGGCGGCUCUUCAAGUCCCAUGUGAAAGCUCCCGGCUUAACCGGGAGAGGUCGUGGGAAACUGAGGGGCUUGAGGCAGAGAGAGGAAGGCGAAAUUCCCGGUGGAGUGGUGGAAUGCGUAGAGAUCGGGAAGAACAUCGGUGGCGAAAGCGGCCUUCUGGCUUUGGCCUGACGCUGAGGUGCGAAAGCGUGGGGAGCAAACAGG